Molecule: long non-coding RNA, 6783 nt
Organism: Camelus dromedarius (Arabian camel)
Lineage: Eukaryota; Metazoa; Chordata; Mammalia; Artiodactyla; Camelidae
Exons: 2
Source: RefSeq, a predicted model, not a curated record
GGAAGUUAAACCCCUCCCCUAACUAUAAAACCCGUGCUUUCAACUUCUGUGCUCUCUGCUGCUGUGAAAGGAGGGAGAAGCAGAGGCAGAGAGACCCCUUCAGCAGGCAACUGCGGUCCUCCACACCAGAGGAGCAGGAGGAAAUGUCUUCAGGGACUGGCCCUCCCUGGCUGGAUUUGGGGUUUGCCUCCUCAUCACCCCAGUUUGGGGCUCACCUCACUGCUGCUUACCUGGUUGGCAGCGGGCAACACUGCUCAUAUGGAAGCGCUCCUGGGAUAUUUCAGGAAGAUGCGGGAACUGAUUUUGUUAAGUUCCUCUCAUGGGCACAUCACCCCCAGCAAAGCCAAAGCCCUCAAUGGAAAGCCGAGGCUCAGAAUGACUCCCUUGUCCCCAAUAAGCCGAGGUUCAGUUUCACGUGGUGCAUCUAAGUGAUGCCAAGUACACUCGUGAGAUCUGAACUGUGCUCCUGGGAGUAUUGUAUUAGUGGACAAAUGACAGGAACUUUUUCCCUUUUUGAGUGCAAACCUAGUGACUUGGUCAUUGUGCACCCUCGUUACAGAAUUCAAAACAAGGAUAAGAAUGACCGCCGUCACUGUGAACCAAGGACUUACUGCCUUUGACGCUGCAAGCAGCUGACAUACCCUCUCACCUCAGUGCCUUCCUUGUGGCUUGUUUCCUCACCUUCCAGAAAAUUGCAGAAGCCAUUUCUCAUCCAGUCAGUCAGUUCUACAGUAAUUAAGAAAUCAUUCUUGUAUUAAUCAAGUGUUUUUAUUCUGUAUUUUUGAUGCUUUGACACCUUGGGGUCUUGCUGACCCCGGAGGGGCCGCCCCUCCAAGGUAGCUAAUUCCCAGAGACAGCCAAUGGCUGGGCUGCGCACAGGUGUUUCCUGUGCAAACCGACCAAUCCAGAGCCCACACCCCCAGCCACCUCCCCUAAGGCUCUCACCCUCUGAGCCACUAUCCACCUGGCUUCGUCACCCCCAGGCCAGGCACCAGACACCCAGGCGCAGCAUCCACGGCCCAGCGUCUGCUGAAAUUAUUCCCACCGGCCAGUUGCACGCCAGCUUACCCUGCAGCAAGCUCCUUCCCCUGGAAACCUUCCUAAAGGCGCUUGCCCGUGUUUUCCCCUCACUCCCUCUGCCUCCAGCGGAUCACGGUGCUGCCCCACGUGGCCCUACCUACUGAGCAAGGCCUCCUGUUUCCAGGGAUCUGCGAGAAUAACACACUUCUUCCUUCACAACAGUUACUGCCUCACUUGUACGGCAUGCCAUGCCAGUUACAACAAACCCUCACCCCUCUCCAAACCCUCCUGGAGACCCAGUCUAGAGCCCCUCCGGUCCGUGCUCCCCAGCAGCCUGCAGAUGACUUCGUAAGCUCCUAACUCCCUGUACUAACUCUCUUUUUCCCUGGAAACCACUAGAGGGUUUUGUUUCCUGCGGUUAACCCUGAUGCUAAAGCCUCUAACCCCAGGCUGCACAGGUGGCCGGGAACAAAGACCCCACCGUCUGUCUGCCUCGAGCACCCAUGCCCUCGACCAGGAAGCCCUGCUUUAUUUACACCGGUGUUUGUGUCACCACCUACCUUCUCAAGGGGUUUUCCUCUCUCUUGAAAGCACUUCCCCAACCACAGAAUGUUGCACUGGCCCUUAGGUGACCUUCGUGGGCCAGCCUCCAGCUAAAGCUGUUGCCUGAGCAGGUGUUUUCCAAUUCCUUAAUCUGGAUCAUUUCCCGGCAGUGACCUGGGCUCCAGGUUAGGUUCUGAUCUCUGGAGAAGAGGACUCGAAGGUGUCUAUGAAGCCGAACUGAGUGUUCCUCCCAUUUUGGAAAAGAACAAGGAAUGACAGGGAAUCCAGGAAAACUUCCUGCCGCCACUCAAGUCUUCAGAGAGGCGCUCUGGCUCCUGCUGAGGCUUGUGGGGGGGGGGGGUAUUUCAAGUCAGAGCCCAUCAGUCACUUCCACCCGCAUGUUUCCUGCAAGUUCCUGCCCAAUCUUGGCUCGUGGAGGCAACAUCUCACAUUAUAUAGGUGGAUGGAUCCCAUAGCUUGUUCAGGUCAUUUUCAGAUAGUGAAAAUACUCCAGUCUGGUCUAAGCCACAUCUUUCUUCUUCUUUUUAUCAUCUCAUAUCCUACUGAAGCGGCGCUCUUCCCCCAGUUCAGGCAGAACAGCAGCAGGAGGGGGGGCGAUGGUGUGUCCUUCGGGGCAUAUUUUUCCUCCCCCUCCCCCCUCUGCCUUGCUGUGGCUGGUGCCUCCGGAGCUGGAGGAGAAGGGUGGGCAAAGGGAGAGGAGAUGCGAAGAUAAGGGGGUUCUGUUGAAUUCCUGUUGGAAUAGCUGACGACUGGAAUGUGCUAGGUGGUGGAUGCUCAAAGGUUGGUCCUCACGUUAAUUUCCUAGGGCUGCCAUAGUAACGUGCCACAAUCUGAGGGGCUUACAUGAACAGAAAUGUAUUCUCUCACCCUCUGGAGGCCAGAAAUCCAAAAUCAAGAUGUUGGCAGAGCCACGCUUCCUCUGAAGCCCCAAGGGAGGCUCCUUACUGGCUUCCUCCAGCUCCGGUUGGCGCCAGACUUCCUAGGCUCAUGGCUGCAUCAGUGCCGCUGUGCCUCCGUCUUCACAUGGCCUCCUCCUCUCUGUGCCCGUGUCCAGACUUCCCUCUGCUUAUAAGGACACCAGUCACAGUGGAGUAGGAGCCCACCCGACUCCGGUGGGACCUCACCUUAACCAGUUACAUUAGCUGCAACCCCCAUUCCCAAAUAAAGCCACACUCACAGGUCCUGGGGGUUCAGAUGCCAACGUGUUUGUGGUGGGUGGAGGCAAUUCAUCCCGAAUGGCCCUCUUUCUCCUCUGUCUUUGGUGAGGUGCUCCUGUGGGCUCCUCAGGGAUAUCACCCUCUCCUCACAACCACCCUCAUCACCACCUGGAGCCUCCUGGCCUGGGAGGUCCCUCCUUGUCUGACCUCUCCCAGCUUCUCUUCAUCUCUGGCCCCAGGGCUUCACACUGCAGGUCCCCCUGCCCAGCAGCAAGCAGGAUUUUUUCCAGGAAAGUUCUAAUCUGGUUCCUUCCUUGGCCCCCUUGGUCCCUGGCUGCCACUCCCCCUUGUGCAUCCAGGAGGGCUCCCAGAGAGCAGUGCCGUUUACCUGUGGCCUCGGCAGUUCAGAGGCCACACCUGCCUGCAGCAGGGUCGCUGCUCUCCUCUGGUCUGGCCAUGCCGGGCCGCACCGCAGCAGCUCAGGACACGCUCAGCACCAAGUCAGACGCCAGAGUGGCCUGGCUGCCCUUCUCACCCCUCCCAGAUUCCUCCUCCUGCACCCGCUCUGGUCUGGGAUGGUGAGCCCACCUUCCCCUCUUUCCUCUGAAGUGGAGGAGCAGCACCGUAGCAUCCUCCACGUCUGUGUAGGUGCUUUAGCCUUCUCUGGUCCAUCACCUCCGAAUUUCUCGUCUUCUCUCAUGUAUGAGGAGGGUGGCGAGCCCAGGUCACAGGAUUUGGCAGAUUCAGGCAUCCCGGGGAGGGGGGGUGUUCUAACACUUCUUUUCAGAAUGUGCGAAACCCGUUGUCUUCGGUUCUGGGGGACUCGGGAAAACUCAGUGGACCAGACCAGUCUCAUUUAGCAUCCUGGAUGAUGCAGUGCCUGGUUCAUAGUGAUGCUCAGUAAAUAACUGGCUUGGAAGUCCAGAUUCCAGUGCCUGUGGUUCUGAUGCUCUGUCAUUUCAUUUCAUACUACAUUUGCAGCCAUGAGACUUCAGGAAACACUGUGGUCCUCCAAAGAAUGUUCUACUAAAGACAAACUUCCAAGUUUUGACUCUUUCCACAUCUAUUGCCACUGAACUUCGAUAGAUGGGGACUUGUACACAAGUACGUGAUAUGAGCAAUCACAACCCUCUUCAUUCAACUGUGUCCUCCAAGAAGGCUCUCCAUCCACUUUAUCUUACAGGGAACACCCCUACCCAGACAGUCUCUGCCCCUUUUCCCUUUCUAAGUGUGCUUCAGAGCAGUUCUGACUGCCUGAAAUUAAAUUAACUUAUGGUUUGUUGUUUGUCUCUUCCGACUGGAAUAUAAGCAUCCUUCAGCUCGCCGUUGUCUGCCAGGUCUCCCGCAGCGUCCAGGGUUCAGAAGAGGGUCUAGCACGUGGGAGGUGGAGUGGCUUGAAGGGCGCCCCCCCACCAAAAGAUGUGCCCACUGGAAACUGUAUGUGACCUUAUUUGGGGAAAAGUUCUUUGCUGAUACAAUUAAGUAUCUUAGGAUGACAUCAUCCUGAAUUAAGGUGAGCCCUAAAAACAAUGACAAGUGUCCUUACAAGGGAAGAAAAGGAAAGGAGACACAGACAAGAAGGCCAUGUGAAGAGGGAGGCAGAGUUUGGAGGGAUGUGACCACAAGCCAAGGGAUGCCUGGAGCCACUGGAAGCCAGAAGAGCUAGGGAAGGGUCCAUCCCUAGAGACUUCAAAGGGAGUGCAGCCCUGACAACACCCUGAUUUUGGCCUUCUUGCCUCCAGAACAGUACAAGAAUAAUCUCCUGGUAUUUCAAGUCACCAAAUUUGUGGCAAUUUAUUAUGGUCGCCCUGGGAAACUCAUACAGUGGACAUGCAGUAAAUGUCUGCUCAAUGAAUGAAUGAAUGAAUGAAUGAAUGAAUGCCAUCCACAGCAGCAGUGUUCAGCCCCUCUCUAUGGGGUCCUGGAGAGCCCAUUGCGUCAAGGCAUCGCCCCAGAGGAGGAGCAGGUGUCAGGACCAUUGGGUGUAAGUCCCAGCUCUGCUGAUAAGUGUCAGUUCCACUCCUGGCCUCAGUCUCCCUGGUUGGAGAGACGAUCCCUGAGGUUCUGGGGUCUCCAUGACCGAACAGGAGUGCUGCAGAGACAAAGAAGUCUCUCUCUGAGCAGCUCUUUCCAGGCAGCCCUGCACGCACCGGGUCUGAGACCGCAGCUGGCAGAGGGCCCCGGGAGUCCCUCCAGAACAGGGCACGGGCUGCGUGCCCAGCAGUGGCAGCUGCUGUGUGUCUGUGUCUGCCUGCCCUCGGGGCCUUUGGUUACCUUAGCGAUCAUCUCUCUCCCAGGCUGCCCGGGGCAGAUGGGAUCAGCUGGCGGUAGGGCUAAGGGAGAACUGUCCCCUGGCUGUGAGACAACAUGGGUGCAUCAUGAAGGGCUUAACCUCUAGCUCAGGGUGGAGGACAAGUGGUUUAGGAAAUUCACAACAGCGCUUUAAAGGCUUGUUUUCCAUUUAGUGGCUGCGGGGAAGCCCCCUGGUAUCGACGUGUCUCCUAGGAAGUCUGGCUGGUUUCCCCAACACAGAGAAGGAAGACUAUUUUUGGAAACUUGUAAUGGUCUACAGAAAUUUAUCCACAAACCCGGCCUCUGUAUUCUCCCGAGAGUCCAGUUGGAUGGCCAAGUUGCAUGGUUCGUUUCAGCAGGCUUACAUGGGUUUAAAAAAAUUCGGAACUCGAUAUAUUUGCGCUGAAGUUCAGCUGAACUCAAUCUUCUGACCUUUCCAAUGACUGAUUCUCUGCGCAGCUGCUGCCCCUCGGAGGGAUGGCAGCCCCUGGCAGCCGGGCGGAGCCAAGAUGACCCUGGCUGAGGUCCCAGGACACGCAAGCACUAGAGCAGCCUGUGUGACUUUGUAGAAGUUCGUACAUCUCUCUGGGCCUCAGCUGCCCAUUUGGGAAAUAGGACUCACAGUGUCCCUGUGCCCACCUCGGGAGGUGUGGAGAAGGUCCAGCAGCCAGGCACUUCAGAAGACUUCCUAAGAAAGGGCUCGGGGCACCCAGGGAGAUGGCUGGUGAAGCCAGAGGAGGGGGAGGCAUUAACUUUGCCCAAAGAAAGGUGUCAUUACUGAAUCUAAACUCGUUCUGCUCACUGCAAGACAGACCAAUAAAUGGGGGAUGAGGUGUUGGAGCAAGGAAUAAAAGACUUUACUUGGAAAGCCAGCAGCCCAAGAAGACGGCAGACUAAUGUCCCGGAGAACCAUCUUCCCCAAGUCAGAAUUCAGGCUGCUUUUAUCCUGAAAAGGGGAGGGGCUGGGGCUGGUUGUUGCAGACUUCUUGGUGCCAGAGUCCUUUGCUCUGGCAUCUGUCCACGUGGGUCAGGUCAUGAUGUUCCUGCAAACCUCCAGCAGGACGAAUAUUAUUUUCUUUUCUGCAACUUUUUAUCUUUAUAUGAAUGGGGAAGUGUUAAUACCCUUAAAGGUCAGAGCUUGAGAAUGGGUAGACUGUAUAUUUCAGGCUCUAGGCAACAGUCUUUUACAAAAGGUGCAGAACCAGCAUGACUGAGCCCAGGAAACAGAGCACAGGGAUAGAGCCAAAGGAACAGGUCUAAUACGCAGUCAGAUUUGUUCUUCGCUCCUACAGAGUGGCCUUUAUCUCUGGCUUCUGGGAGCUAACCGCCAAGCCCUUGGGAUGGUCCACCUGAUAGAAGUGCCUUUGUUUACCUGGGUCUUGGGCUGUGCCAAAUAAUUUGCACUGACAAUGUGAUCUGUGGUGGAGCCCUGGGACCAAGCAGUUAUCAGCUGCCCCAAGGGACUGGAUAUGAAAGUCAGCCACGUGUGUAAUCUGCUUUGUGUCUGUGCGACUGACCCCCAUAAAAACUCUGGACAUCAAGGGUUGGAUGAGUGCCCUUGGUUGGCAACACCCAGUGCGUUCUGUCUCACGUGGUGGCUGAGAGAAGUAAGCACUGUCCUGAUGUCACUGGAAGAGGACAAGAGGCAGCUCAUACCUGGACCUCUCCUGGACCCCUCCCCGUGCCCUUCUUGUUGCUGAUUUUGAUCUGUGAGCUUUGGCUGUAAUAAAUCACAACUGUGAGAAUGAUA